This 340-nucleotide ribosomal RNA is filed under the name uncultured eukaryote. RNAcentral's name for it is "partial 18S ribosomal RNA". It matches the Rfam family "Eukaryotic small subunit ribosomal RNA", at positions 1470 to 1796 of the family's 1831-position model. The record is from RNAcentral.
CCCUUAGAUGUUCUGGGCUGCACGCGCGCUACACUGGCGGGGUCUGUGGGUUGUGACGUGGCUGAAUGGUCGUGUCCGUUCCUAGCUGGAGACGGCUGGGUAAUCCUGAAGCAGCCUCGCCGUGCUGGGGAUAGACGAUUGCAAUUUUUGGUCUUCAACGAGGAAUUCCUAGUAAACGCAAGUCAUCAACUUGCAUUGAUUACGUCCCUGCCCUUUGUACACACCGCCCGUCGCACCUACCGAUUGAAUGGUCCGGUGAAGCCUCCGGAUUGGCGCGCACCUCGGUGCCGCCGAGAAGUUGGCUAAACCUUACCAUUUAGAGGAAGGUGAAGUCGUAACA